Molecule: ribosomal RNA, 253 nt
Filed under: uncultured bacterium
Lineage: Bacteria
Description: partial 16S ribosomal RNA
Rfam family: Bacterial small subunit ribosomal RNA
Source: RNAcentral
UACGGAGGGUCCGAGCGUUGUCCGGAAUUAUUGGGUUUAAAGGGUACGUAGGCGGAUUGAUCAGUCAGAGCUGAAAUCCUAUGGCUUAACCAUAGAACUGGCUUUGAUACUGUCAAUCUUGAGUACGGUAGAGGUAGGCGGAAUUUAUGAUGUAGCGGUGAAAUGCAUAGAUAUCAUAAAGAACACCGAUAGCGAAGGCAGCUUGCUGGACCGUAACUGACGCUAAUGUACGAAAGUGCGGGUAUCGAACAGG